This 520-nucleotide ribosomal RNA is filed under the name uncultured Glomus. Its description in RNAcentral is "SSU rRNA". It matches the Rfam family "Eukaryotic small subunit ribosomal RNA", at positions 569 to 1091 of the family's 1831-position model. Lineage: Eukaryota; Fungi; Glomeromycota; Glomeromycetes; Glomerales; Glomeraceae. The record is from RNAcentral.
AGCAGCCGCGGUAAUUCCAGCUCCAAUAGCGUAUAUUAAAGUUGUUGCAGUUAAAAAGCUCGUAGUUGAAUUUCGGGAUUAAUAUGUUGGUCGUGCCUUGGUACGUACUGGCAUUAUUGAUUCCUACCUUCUGAAGAACCUCGAUGUCAUUAAUUUGGUGUCUUGGGGAAUCAGGACCGUUACUUUGAAAAAAUUAGAGUGUUUAAAGCAGGCUCGCGCUUGAAUACAUUAGCAUGGAAUAAUGAAAUAGGACGUUUGAUUCUAUUUUGUUGGUUUCUAGGAUCGACGUAAUGAUUAAUAGGGAUAGUUGGGGGCAUUGGUAUUCAAUUGUCAGAGGUGAAAUUCUUGGAUUUAUUGAAGACUGACUACUGCGAAAGCAUUUGCCAAGGAUGUUUUCAUUAAUCAAGAACGAAAGUUAGGGGAUCGAAGACGAUCAGAUACCGUCGUAGUCUUAACCAUAAACUAUGCCGACUAGGGAUCGGAUGAUGUUAAUUUUUUAAUGACUCAUUCGGCGCCUUAC